RNAcentral lists this ribosomal RNA (440 nucleotides) under uncultured bacterium. RNAcentral describes it as "partial 16S ribosomal RNA". It matches the Rfam family "Bacterial small subunit ribosomal RNA", at positions 338 to 795 of the family's 1533-position model. The record is from RNAcentral.
CCUACGGGUGGCAGCAGUGGGGAAUAUUGCACAAUGGGGGAAACCCUGAUGCAGCGACGCCGCGUGAGUGAAGAAGUAAUUCGUUAUGUAAAGCUCUAUCAGCAGGGAAGAAAAUGACGGUACCGGAGUAAGAAGCCCCGGCUAACUAAGUGCCAGCAGCCUCGUUAAAACGUAGGGGGCAAGCGUUAUCCGGAUUUACUGGGUGUAAAGGGAGCGUAGACGGCAGUGCAAGUCAGGAGUGAAAGGGGGGGGCUCAACCCCCGGACUGCUAUGGAAACUGUACGGCGGGAGUGCAGGAGAGGUAAGUGGAAUUCCUAGUGUAGCGGUGAAAUGCGUAGAUAUUAGGAGGAACACCAGUGGCGAAGGCGGCUUACUGGACUGUAACUGACGUUGAGGCUCGAAAGCGUGGGGAGCAAACAGGAUUAGAUACCCGAGUAGUC